Molecule: transfer RNA, 73 nt
Filed under: Streptococcus suis ST3
Lineage: Bacteria; Bacillati; Bacillota; Bacilli; Lactobacillales; Streptococcaceae
Description: tRNA-Phe
Rfam family: tRNA
About the family: Transfer RNA (tRNA) molecules are approximately 80 nucleotides in length. Their secondary structure includes four short double-helical elements and three loops (D, anti-codon, and T loops).
Source: RNAcentral
GGCUCGGUAGCUCAGUUGGCAGAGCAAUGGAUUGAAGCUCGAUGUGUCGGCGGUUCGAUUUCGUCUCCCGCCC